ACGCUGGCGGCAGGCCUAACACAUGCAAGUCGAGCGGUAGAGAGAAGCUUGCUUCUCUUGAGAGCGGCGGACGGGUGAGUAAUGCCUAGGAAUCUGCCUGGUAGUGGGGGAUAACGUUCGGAAACGGACGCUAAUACCGCAUACGUCCUACGGGAGAAAGCAGGGGACCUUCGGGCCUUGCGCUAUCAGAUGAGCCUAGGUCGGAUUAGCUAGUUGGUGAGGUAAUGGCUCACCAAGGCGACGAUCCGUAACUGGUCUGAGAGGAUGAUCAGUCACACUGGAACUGAGACACGGUCCAGACUCCUACGGGAGGCAGCAGUGGGGAAUAUCGGACAAUGGGCGAAAGCCUGAUCCAGCCAUGCCGCGUGUGUGAAGAAGGUCUUCGGAUUGUAAAGCACUUUAAGUUGGGGGGAAGGGCAUUAACCUAAUACGUUAGUGUUUUGACGUUACCGACAGAAUAAGCACCGGCUAACUCUGUGCCAGCAGCCGCGGUAAUACAGAGGGUGCAAGCGUUAAUCGGAAUUACUGGGCGUAAAGCGCGCGUAGGUGGUUUGUUAAGUUGGAUGUGAAAUCCCCGGGCUCAACCUGGGAACUGCAUUCAAAACUGACUGACUAGAGUAUGGUAGAGGGGUGGGUGGAAUUUCCUGUGUAGCGGUGAAAUG
Molecule: ribosomal RNA, 662 nt
Filed under: uncultured bacterium
Lineage: Bacteria
Description: bacterial SSU rRNA
Rfam family: Bacterial small subunit ribosomal RNA
Source: RNAcentral